Molecule: ribosomal RNA, 468 nt
Filed under: uncultured bacterium
Lineage: Bacteria
Description: partial 16S ribosomal RNA
Rfam family: Bacterial small subunit ribosomal RNA
Source: RNAcentral
GACGAACGCUGGCGGCGUGCUUAACACAUGCAAGUCGAACGGAAAGGCCCUGCUUUUGUGGGGUGCUCGAGUGGCGAACGGGUGAGUAACACGUGAGUAACCUGCCCUUGACUUUGGGAUAACUUCAGGAAACUGGGGCUAAUACCGGAUAGGAGCUCCUGCUGCAUGGUGGGGGUUGGAAAGUUUCGGCGGUUGGGGAUGGACUCGCGGCUUAUCAGCUUGUUGGUGGGGUAGUGGCUUACCAAGGCUUUGACGGGUAGCCGGCCUGAGAGGGUGACCGGCCACAUUGCGACUGAGAUACGGCCCAGACUCCUACGGGAGGCAGCAGUGGGGAAUAUUGCACAAUGGGCGCAAGCCUGAUGCGGCGACGCCGCGUGCGGGAUAACGGCCUUCGGGUUAUAAACCGCUUUCGCCUGUGACAAGGCGUGAGUGACGGUAAUGGGUAAAGAAGCACCGGCUAACUACGUG